GCUUAGGUCGGGGCUGUACGGCGGAUG
RNAcentral lists this non-coding RNA (27 nucleotides) under Bombyx mori (domestic silkworm). The record is from RNAcentral. Lineage: Eukaryota; Metazoa; Arthropoda; Insecta; Lepidoptera; Bombycidae.